Molecule: long non-coding RNA, 3565 nt
Organism: Papaver somniferum (opium poppy)
Lineage: Eukaryota; Viridiplantae; Streptophyta; Magnoliopsida; Ranunculales; Papaveraceae
Exons: 5
Source: RefSeq, a predicted model, not a curated record
CUGAUGGCGGCAUUACCAAUCUGAGAAACAGGUGAGGAGAUGCGGAAAUUCAAAGAUGAAAUUGGUUGGAAUAAAACAAGCCGUUGCUGCUAAUGGAAGAAUCAAGAGAUGGGGUCUGUUCGAAUUCGUAUUACAUAAGAUUUUUUGUCACAGAUUUGGAUUUGGUCGUUGUCGAAGAAAUCAGAGUUUGCUGUUGAUUUGAGAAGGUUGCUGGUGGAUUCAAAGAAUAGGGUGUAGCUGUUCGAUUCAGAAGGAAAGAAGGAACUGAAAUUGGUGCUUUCAUCAGUUUCUUAGCUACGCUUUUUACUCUGGUGUUGGAGUUAGGGUUACGAGAUUGAGAAGAUGAAGCUGGUUCUGGACCGAAAUUGAGACAGAGACGAAGAAUUGAAGCUGAUGAAAUCGAUGGGUUUCUGUGGUUGUUCACUGAGUAAUUGCAGAUCUGAUUUGGAGAUGUUUUGAACUGAGGGAGGAUGGAUUUCUGGAGCAGAUGGAGCUGAAUUAGGGUUCUACAGCAAUUGAUGAAGCGGAGAAGACAUAAAUGAAGAGAGAAUCAAAAAAGAAAUUGGGGGUUCGAUUAGAGAAUAAUCAGGUCUGUAAACAGUGGGUUUGUGUUGUAUUUGAAGAAUACACACAAGAAGACAAGGUUGAGCUGUUGAAUUCAUAGAGAGUAUGGAAGUGAAUGAAAUGGGUAUGAAAUGCUGCUGCAAUGAGGAACUGGUGGUGCUGUUUUAGUAACAUGGCUUGAGCUGUGGAAAUAGAUGAGUUGUUGAUUCUGGUGGUGAUUCAUGAAGCUAUAUAGUGGUUGUGAAAGGGAUUUGGUGAUUGCAUUGAUUGCCAACAAAAAGAGAAGACCUCAGCUCAAAGAGUUGAUCAAAGUCAUCCAGCAAGAGCAAUCUGCAUAUAAGGAUCCCAUCACUGAGUUCUUGUACUGCUUGUAUGUCAACUAUGACUUCGAUGGUGCACAACAGAAGCUCCGUGAAUGCGAGGAUGUGAUUUCGAGGUGUCGGGAAUACGAAAUUUCAACAAACAUUCGUUACUGUCCCAGCUAGAUGGAAAGAAUUGAGGCUUUGAGCUGAUGCAGAGCAGCUGUAUUUGGAAGCUACAUCCAAUGGUUGAGAAUUCUGAUUGCAAAUGCAGAGUAGUUGUUGUUGCUGCUGGUGUUGCUGAGACAAUGGUGCUGUCGUUGCAGAAUGUGUCAGGCUGGUUCUGGUGGAGUUGCAGCCGCAGUGCUAAAUGGUAUGUUUGUUGUGUAUGAAAUAGCAAGGUGUUGGUGGUUCAGUUGCUUAGGGCUCUUUGUUUCAUUUAUCAUUAAUUCAUAUGUUUUAACUGGCUGAUUGCUAGAUUAACCCAGUUUUUGUACUUUUGGUUGUAGUGUUUUUGGCUUUGUACAGUUCUUAGUGUUAGUGGUCUACUGUUAUCCCUGUGAUGUAUGUUUCCCAGAUUUGGUUUAAAGAAAUUCCAAGAUGACUUAUUAGUUUGUGUACUGAUGGCCUUAAAAUGUUCAUUGUGGAUGCAGACUAAGUUUCAUGCAAUUCAUACUAGUGCAGAGAAGAACCUCCGAUUUGUGUAUUGUGCUGCUGCCAUAUCUUCUUUAUUGAAUGAUGAUUGGAGUGGGAUGGAUAUAUAGAAAGCCAAGGAAUAUAUAGUGAUCUGUCAGGUGCUCGCAGUCCAACUAUCAGCGAGAUUGAAACGCUGAACCGUUAGGCGCUGAAAAAGUGGUUUAAACGUUGAAUUGUUCGGCGUUUUGCGAAUAUUCCCUAGAAUCACUACCGAACCAUUCGGCGUUUGCACAAAAGUUGUUCCAUUCGGCGUACCCUUUCAACGUCGCACCAUGCGACGCUUGACUGUUUUUCCUCCAAUGACUAUUUUUUUCAGAAUUCCAUUUCCUAAAUUAUGAGAAUUUCCAAAUGAUUUUCCAAUUUGUUCCAAUGGUUGCGUGUUUCAAAUUUGAAAAUUUAUCAAAGUAAAGGGAAAUUUUUAAUUACAUUUCAAAACGGUUACAAUAUUUUUUGAAGAAAUUGAAGAAAACAUUAAAAUUAAAAUAAAUUAGAACACAAAAAGAUAUAUUGAAAUUGAAAUUCUACAACUUAGAGCAUAAAAAAAUACAUUGAAAUUGAAAUCCUACUUCUAAAUAACUUAAAACAUAAAAAAAAAAGUACAUUGAAAUUGAAACCCUACUUCUAAAUAACUUAAAUUAUUACUAAUAUAUCAUUUUAAUUUAGGGGAUAAGUGGUAAUCCAUAACGGGCUAAAAUCUCGUUCUUCCAUAUUUUGUAGACGGGUUUCUCCCAUUCUUGUAAUUCAUCCAAGAGUUGACGUAGGAUCUUCAUGUCCGAUUCUCUUUGCUGUGUUUGUGCCAAAAUUGAAGAGUUUUCUAUGUCCUUCUUCAGAUACUCUUCCUCUGUUUCAUAUUUUGCCAUUCUUUGUGUUUGUGCGUUUUCAAGAAGUUCGAUGAGUUUAUCCAAUUUUUCAUCUGAUUUAUGCGAUGCUUUAGCUCACGAGCUCUUUUCUUUGCUUGAUCUCUCCCUUCACUUCUAACGUCAUCUGUUUGUUCAAAAUAACGCCUUCUCUUUGAUAUGUCUGAGGUUUCAGAAAUAUGAGUAGAUGAAGAGCUACCAAACCUUGCCAUAUUUUGAAAUUCUUCAUCCAAAUUAUCAACUUCAUUUUCUUCAGUAGUUUGAGUAUGUUGACUAGGUUGAGUGGAAGUACCGACUCCAUCAUCGUUAUUCACCGCUGGAUUGUAAUAUGGUUGAUAAGUCUUCAGGAUCUUAAAAAUUGACUCGUGCAUCCAUUGUUUUUUAAACGCUGCUACAUAAUUCUCUCUUCCACGACGAUACUGGGGAAAAAAUGAAAAGAAAAAUUUAGAGAAAGAAAGAAAGAGAUCAAAAUGGAAGAAAGAAAACAUUAAUUUUUUUUUUUGAGGUACUUACAUAAUCCUCCUCGGUCAUCCCCGUAGAUCUACUUCGGAAGUAGGGUCUAAUAUAUGAAAUAUAUUUUUUCAUUUCGGCUCUCAAUGUGUUACACUUUGUUCGUAAUGCCUUUCUAUCUCUUUCGACACCAUUGGGACCUUUUCUUUUAUUGUAUUCUUCCAUUAUCUUUCCCCAAAAUAUUGCACCUUUUUGAUCUUUUCCAUGAAUCGGAUCGUUGCUUGCUAUGACCCAACCAUAAAUUAGUGCCUCUUCUUCUAAUGUACUAAAGUGUGUCAUAGUUUUGUAUGAACAAAAUUAUGUGAAGACGAAGAAAAUCAAUGAAGAAGAUAAUUAAUUGAUUUUGGUGUGAGGGAUAAAGGAGAAGUAGUCCUCAAUUUAUAGGGAAGCCUGAAAAUAUAACUGUUGAGGUUUCAAACGGCUACAAAAUCUGAGUUGUUGAGAAUGCAACGGUCAUCUUGAUCGGAUGGCUAAGAUUUGUCAGCGCCGUUCGGUUCGGCGUUGGAACGUCGUUUGGUUCGGCAUUUCCUCAAACGACUACAUUUUCAGCUCAAACUCAGAUCAUUUCCUAUCUCUAUAUAAACCUAUCACAUAAAACUCAAAAUCCCCACCUCAAUUCUCAAUUCUCCUAUCACAUAA